UGGGGAAUUUUGGACAAUGGGGGAAACCCUGAUCCAGCCAUCCCGCGUGUGCGAUGAAGGCCUUCGGGUUGUAAAGCACUUUUGGCAGGAAAGAAACGUCAUGGGUUAAUACCCCGUGAAACUGACGGUACCUGCAGAAUAAGCACCGGCUAACUACGUGCCAGCAGCCGCGGUAAUACGUAGGGUGCAAGCGUUAAUCGGAAUUACUGGGCGUAAAGCGUGCGCAGGCGGUUCGGAAAGAAAGAUGUGAAAUCCCAGAGCUCAACUUUGGAACUGCAUUUUUAACUACCGGGCUAGAGUGUGUCAGAGGGGGGUGGAAUUACGCGUGUAGCAGUGAAAUGCGUAGAUAUGCGGAGGAACACCGAUGGCGAAGGCAGCCUCCUGGGAUAACACUGACGCUCAUGCACGAAAGCGUGGGGAGCAAACAGG
This 429-nucleotide ribosomal RNA is filed under the name Acidobacteriota bacterium. RNAcentral describes it as "Acidobacteria bacterium partial 16S ribosomal RNA". It matches the Rfam family "Bacterial small subunit ribosomal RNA", at positions 355 to 776 of the family's 1533-position model. The record is from RNAcentral. Lineage: Bacteria; Pseudomonadati; Acidobacteriota.